UACGGAGGAUCCGAGCGUUAUCCGGAUUUAUUGGGUUUAAAGGGUGCGUAGGUGGAUUGGUAAGUCAGUGGUGAAAGUUUGCAGCUUAACUGUAAAAUUAGCCGUUGAAACUGCCAGUCUUGAGUGCAAAUGAGGUAGGCGGAAUGCGUCGUGUGGCGGUGAAAUGCUUAGAUAUGACGCAGAACUCCGAUUGCGAAGGCAGCUUACUGGGAUGCAACUGACGCUGAGGCACGAAAGACGUGGGUAGUCAAACAGGAUUAGAUA
This 264-nucleotide ribosomal RNA is filed under the name uncultured prokaryote. RNAcentral describes it as "partial 16S ribosomal RNA". It matches the Rfam family "Bacterial small subunit ribosomal RNA", at positions 524 to 784 of the family's 1533-position model. The record is from RNAcentral.